Molecule: ribosomal RNA, 551 nt
Filed under: Lecanoromycetes sp. LA36
Lineage: Eukaryota; Fungi; Ascomycota; Lecanoromycetes
Description: eukaryotic LSU rRNA
Rfam family: 5.8S ribosomal RNA (bases 205-358)
Source: RNAcentral
CUGCGGAAGGAUCAUUAACGAGUUCCGGGUCGUCUCCGGCCCGAUCUCCCAUCCCAUGUGUACCUUUCUCGCGUUGCUUUGGCGGGCCCGCUGAGGCGGGGUCCAUCCCCUCUCACCGCCGGCCUCCUGGGCUGACGAGCGCCCGCCAGAGAUACUCGAAACUCUGAUUUGAUCAGUGUCGUCUGAGUAACAUACAAUCGUUAAAACUUUCAACAACGGAUCUCUUGGUUCUGGCAUCGAUGAAGAACGCAGCGAAAUGCGAUACGUAAUGUGAAUUGCAGAAUUCAGUGAAUCAUCGAAUCUUUGAACGCACCUUGCGCCCCUUGGUAUUCCGAGGGGCAUGCCUGUUCGAGCGUCAUUACACCACUCAAGCUCAGCUUGGUGUUGGGCCAUCGCCCGCCUCGCUUCGGCGAUGGGCGUGCCUGAAAAUCAGUGGCGGUGCCAUCCAGUUCAAGCGCAGUAAGAAUCACUUCCUCGCUUUGGAAGCCUGGGCGGUCGCUAGCCAGACAACCUUAUUAUACUCUUCUAAGGUUGACCUCGGAUCAGGUAGG